Molecule: ribosomal RNA, 931 nt
Filed under: uncultured bacterium
Lineage: Bacteria
Description: bacterial SSU rRNA
Rfam family: Bacterial small subunit ribosomal RNA
Source: RNAcentral
CAUGCAAGUCGAGGGGAAACGACAUCGAAAACUUGCUUUUGAUGGGCGUCGACCGGCGCACGGGUGAGUAACGCGUAUCCAACCUGCCCACCACUUGGGGAUAACCUUGCGAAAGUAAGACUAAUACCCAAUGACGUCUCUAGAAGACAUCUGAAAGAGAUUAAAGAUUUAUCGGUGAUGGAUGGGGAUGCGUCUGAUUAGCUUGUUGGCGGGGUAACGGCCCACCAAGGCUACGAUCAGUAGGGGUUCUGAGAGGAAGGUCCCCCACAUUGGAACUGAGACACGGUCCAAACUCCUACGGGAGGCAGCAGUGAGGAAUAUUGGUCAAUGGACGAGAGUCUGAACCAGCCAAGUAGCGUGCAGGAUGACGGCCCUAUGGGUUGUAAACUGCUUUUAUAAGGGAAUAAAGUGAGUCUCGUGAGACUUUUUGCAUGUACCUUAUGAAUAAGGACCGGCUAAUUCCGUGCCAGCAGCCGCGGUAAUACGGAAGGUCCGGGCGUUAUCCGGAUUUAUUGGGUUUAAAGGGAGCGUAGGCCGGAGAUUAAGCGUGUUGUGAAAUGUAGAUGCUCGACAUCUGCACUGCAGCGCGAACUGGUUUCCUUGAGUACGCACAAAGUGGGCGGAAUUCGUGGUGUAGCGGUGAAAUGCUUAGAUAUCACGAAGAACUCCGAUUGCGAAGGCAGCUCACUGGAGCGCAACUGACGCUGAAGCUCGAAAGUGCGGGUAUCGAACAGGAUUAGAUACCCUGGUAGUCCGCACGGUAAACGAUGGAUGCCCGCUGUUGGUCUGAAUAGGUCAGCGGCCAAGCGAAAGCAUUAAGCAUCCCACCUGGGGAGUACGCCGGCAACGGUGAAACUCAAAGGAAUUGACGGGGGCCCGCACAAGCGGAGGAACAUGUGGUUUAAUUCGAUGAUACGCGAGGAACCUUACC